CGCGCGGGCCGAUGCGUGAGGAGCGGGUGCCGUACAAAUGCCUUUAUAAUUCACAGCCUGUGGAACCCCUUGUGUUCUGUGGGAUCAGAAUAUCCUGAGCUGGAACGGGAACGGACCCUCAGGGAUCAUCCAGUGCGACCCCGUUGUUGCGACAGAUCUGAUGGAGCGUUUUAAGGGAUGGAUGCUGCUCUUCGCAGAGUUCCUCAUGAGACCGUGGCAAACCUCCCUGCAAUCAUCUCUCCAAUUUGUGGCUGUUCCCGUGAGUUUCUGCUCCAUUUUCUCACUCCCGGAGGCUCUACGGGGACAUCAGGGCUCAGCAGGGGCUCCUCUUUCCUUACCCUGUGAUAAAACUUCUCCAGGAGUGCUCUGUCAACCUGUCUGUCUCCUGGUUAUGUUUCAGUUGACUAAAAUAAGCAAAUGCAAUGUAUACUGGGGAAGGCUGGAGAAAAGGACUCAGCAAAAGAAAAGAUAAUGAUAGUGCUGAGUUUCCUGGAAUCCCACUGAGAGGCUGAUUUAAGCAAGAAAAACAAACCCCUUUUGCUGUUUCCUUUCCCUGGAUUUGUUGAUGAGCAAGCUUUAGUUCACCCCAGGUCCAGCUUUGCUUCCACUCCCCAGCUCUCCUCUGUUAAUACCUCACAUAUGGCACGGCUCAGGUGUGAAAGGACAAUGCUGGCUCACAUCCAUGGAAAGGAUCAGACUUUAUUCCCUGUCUGAGUGAGGCUUACUUACCUCAGCCACUGAAACCAGGCAGGGAACAGCAUCCUUCCCAUCUUCACCAAGCCUGUUAGAUGUACUUCUGUAAGCAGGUGGCACAAAAAAAAAAAAAAAAUGAAAGGGAAAGAAACAAAAACUAUCCCUCAGGAGCUGCUGCUCCUUUCAUGGGAGGAGAAAGAGUGUGGAGCAACAGGAGAGGGUUUCCUGCUGCUGACAGGGGUUGUGCCCUGUGUGAGCUCACAGAGAGCAGCCCCAUCCCUCCCUUCCUCCCUCCCUUUUUUUCUUUAACAUAUGUGCUUUCUAUGGGCACUUUAAUCAAACUCCAGAUGGGUUGUUUCAGUCAGGGGAUUUGUGCUGCUCUGGAGAUAAGAGUCCUUUGUGCUGGCCUAGGUAGCAAGAGUGUUUGUGAUAACUGGAGCUGAUACCAGGAGAUGUCCAGGUGGUCUUAUUUAACAGGGAGCAUUAGUGAUACCACCAUUGUCCAGGAAAUCAGAUAAAACUGGGUCCAGGUGUUACCCAACACCGUGUUUGUGUAAGGACAGUACCAACUGCUGCCUGCACUGAGCCUCAGAGCAGCACUGCAGAGGGGGGUGUUCUUGUACAGGAUCCCCAUCACCCCCAAACUUCUCGGGGUGCACCAUUGAAAGGGAAAAUUUUAACCAGGAGUUGGACUUGGAUGAUCCUUGUGGGUCCCUUCCAACUCAGGAUAUUCCAUGAUCCUAAUCUGAAUAUCAAGUGAGCUUCACACUGAAUAUAAGAUCACUCUUGGAUGUCCUAAACUGAAGAAUUUCACUUAAACCAUCACACAUUUUCCUCUCUGCCCUCCCACAGAGAAGUCUCUAGCGAAAACAUUUGGGGAGUGAGACCAUUUAGAAAUAAAAAUUCAGGACAAUUCACUCUUCUGCCCAGGCUAAUUAGGAGAGAGGAGGAAUUGUACAGAUGGAUGAACUGGAGAGAGAGGAGACAGUUUGGGAAGUGCUAACCUGGACUGUAAUUUCAGGUGACAAGGACACUUUUCAGUCCUCGUUCUGGAGUGACACUGCACAGUGACACACCAGCUGCAGGAAGGGAUUUACCACAAAUCAUUGCUAGAAAAUCACAUAAAAAUCAAGACAAAAGAAGUAUGAGCGAGACCUGAACUCUUCUUGUGGUUUUACACUCAGCCAUUCCCUUUUAAGAGCAGGGUAUUUAGUAGGAAGCAUAAAUUCCAGGCUCAGAGUCGUGCAAUGUCUAGACUCCAGCUCGUGGGACCUGUCUCCGUGGGGCCGUAUUUCUCACCGUGAUAUUUUUCAGGACACCUCUGCUUUGUCCCAGAGAUUUCAGGGACGUGGAAGCUCCCGGCUCCUCGUACCAGUGGCAGCUGGGAGGCUGCUGGAGUUCCUUGGUAAUUGUUUGUAUGGAUGGGAGCUCAACUUAGCUGCAGAACACGGGGGGAAAAAGCCUGGUUGGAAGGAGCGGGGACUUUUGGCCCCCAGCUGUGCCAGAACAGGCUCAUCUCCGAGAGAUCCCCAGCUGCACUUCCAGGCUGUAAAUUAAACAAACAGUGUUUCCUCCAGACCAGACCACAGGGAUGGCAGAGAGAACAAUGUGGCCUUAUUGCUGUUAUUUCCUUUGGUUUCAAUCUCUGUCCUCUGCCCCCACCUCCUCCCCAGACCCGUGGUGCCCACUUUACCCGAUUUGCCAUUUAUUACACUGCUUUAAAGAGAGGCAGGGGGAAAAAGGCUCAGUGCAAAUUAUAUUUUGAGCUGUUGUGCUUUGCCUCUUUGGUGGAUAAUAAAUCUCUCUGGCAAUGCUCCUCUGUAUAGGAUUUGUCAUUAAAUGCAAUUAAACAAACCCUGCAGGUGUCCAUGAUCAGGCCUGCAGCAGCCCAUUCACAACUGCAAUGUUAUUAUCAGCCUGACAACAAAACACCAGAUAUUUCCUGAGCUCCUCUGAUCGAUGAGCUCGCCUGACUUGGAACUGGGAGGGAGGAGGAAAGGGCCUUCAGAGCGCUUCAAAUGCUCUUUAGACUUAUUGAUGGAAAAGUCAAAAAGCUGCUCGGCAAUCAGAGGGAAGGUGGAGAGAGAGAAAGGCAGAGGGACUGGAGAGCUGAGAGGGAGAAAUGAGAGAGGAGUGUUUGGGAGUAAAAAGGUAGAAAUGAGGCAAGAUAUCACAUGGUACCCACCUACCCAAUGAGUUGGCUAAUGCACAAGAGUAGGAUUUAGGAGGCAAGGAGGGUAUUUUAGGGAUGAUUCUUUGGCAGUUGGGCUUUUAGUGUUAGGUGAGUCAUGCAGGCUCCCUCUGCAGUCAGCACAAAUAUUCCUCUCAUCCCAAGGCAGGACUGGCAGGUUGACCUGUUGUCCAGGGAUGUUUGCCAGCCUUCAUAAAUUGUAGCCAAAUGGUUGGCUCAGACACACAAAUAAUUGUAAAUCCCACCUGGAACAGCCAAAGGAAUUGGCUUUUUCAAGGCCGGGUCGGCCGGGGCUUGGAGCAACCUGAUCUAGUGGAAGGUGUCCCUGGCCAUGGCAGGGGGGUGGAAUGAA
Long non-coding RNA from Lepidothrix coronata (blue-crowned manakin), 3236 nucleotides. RefSeq lists it as uncharacterized. The transcript is spliced from 3 exons. The record is from RefSeq and is a predicted model, not a curated record. Lineage: Eukaryota; Metazoa; Chordata; Aves; Passeriformes; Pipridae.